Non-coding RNA from Phalacrocorax carbo (great cormorant), 365 nucleotides. NCBI's taxonomy places the organism in Eukaryota, Metazoa, Chordata, Aves, Suliformes, Phalacrocoracidae. The record is from RefSeq and is a predicted model, not a curated record.
GUGUUGUUGUUGGCGUUCCGCGUAGGGUUCGUCUGUGGUUGUGGUGUCUUGGCUUGGAGCCGCCCUGCCCGGGGGUGUCGAGUCAGGGCAAGGUGGCAAAGGAGCGUUUGAGGUGAAAUGGGUUGCAGAGAAGAGGGGUGCGCAGCUGGUGAUUUUUUUUAGGAACUGCAAUGGCAACUCUAUGUGCUUUUAUCUCUAGGGGCCGCAAAGGAUGGUGACCGUCCAAGUCCAGCACGGGUAAGGAGCAGGUGGAGCGGUCCUAGAGGAAUGCGACGGGUGGAAAAGCACGCUUUAUGUCUGGUGUUUCUCAAAACCAGAGGCAUAAUAAAGGAGCAUUACUCAUACAAUAAUAAAGUAAAUGAAAA